AUGGCAGGAUCUUUUCAACUGAAUACACAACCAAUCACAGUCUCGGUUUCAGGAUCAACAGGAAUGCCUGUACCUGUCAUGCUAACAACGGCAAAUGCAGCAAUAAAUCCCGGUGCCAAAGGAGACACAGAACCAGAUGAGCCUCCGGAGAAAAGAGCGAGAACAAGUCAACCGGACACGUGAUACAAAUCCAAUAAUGCUGUAUAUGUUAAACAUUGUACAUAAACAUACCAUAUGUAGGAUAGUGAUCAAGUGACAUUUGACACUUACAACAGUGUGAUAAAUUCUAUCCAUUUCUCUCUCUGGAUCAUAGGAAAAUAAAUCUGGUAUAGAUAGUACCAGGGUCGAAAUAAUCUCACUAAAUCACCACAAUGUUGUAUAGUUUUAUUAUUGUUAAGAACAUUUUAUCUGACAAAAAAAAAGAAGAGUGAAAAUAAGCUGAGUGAAAUAUUUUGAAUAUAUUUGAAACAUACUGAUCAAGUUCAGAUUUUUUUCUACUUUCAUGUUUAUAUGAUGUUAUUAUGGAAACGAUUGCAUGAAAGUUCCAUACUCUAGGGAACAUGUUUCAUAAAAGAUUUAACAUAAUCUCUUAUUGCAGCACAUUGUUUUACCAUUCUACCAUUGUACCAUUUUACACUUUUAACUAAUUGUGACUAAAACAAGAAUAAUUAUGAAGUAUGUUGUUGUCACAGGUGGCUGACGUCUAAUAUCCUCUUCAUACCUGCUUAUAUAUCAAUAAUAUACAUAUAGGGGUGUCAGACGUCGGGCACCAGUGGUUCCGUUGUUGAUUUUGAUUUUAUGAUUUUAGCUACCAGGUCUACUUUCCUGCGAUCCUGAUGUCAUUAUUAUCAUCAUUGAGUAACAAAAUUGUUGUGGACAGGUACGAGAAUUUUUGUCAAGGUUCUUUGAGAAUUAAGUUUAUAGGUUUCACUAAAUCAAUUUGAAUACCUUGAUAAUGAUUUGAUUUUCUAUUGUUUUUUCUUUAUUGUUUAAGUGUAACUUAGAUAAAAGAUAAGGCGUGAAAAUAAAAAAUAAUGAACUUCAGAGAACUUGAAAUUUCCUCUCUUGCAAAGAGUGUCACCAUUUUUUGGUGUCUAUAUCAAAUUUUCUUCAAUGUAAUAAUUAUUAUUUACAUGAAUCAGUUAUUUUUGAAAUGACCUGAUAAUAAUUCAAUUAUUCUGAAGAAUGUAUAUCGUCAGUAUUGUUUCAUUUGCUUAAAGAAGACUUUUCAAAAAUACUAUGUUAGGUACAACAUGUAUAUUUUAGGAACAAGAAAAGAUAACCAGUGUCAGCAUAAAACUUAGAUGUUUUAAUUUCCCUUAUAUUGUUAAGAUUUGAAGUAAACAAUUUUUUUUAUAGAAAUUUAUUCACGAGAAGUUGUAGAUAUUUUUUUGAAGUACAUUUUGUAUGUGCAUCAUUUAAAUGAAGUAAUCAUAAAGAUUAUUGUCAAGCUAUGAGAGUAUGUGGGAAGUUUCAUGGACUACUAUGUUAGAUAAUUUCAUGAUAAUUUUAUGAUUUCUUCACAUUUAAAAAUGCCUAUACAGCUUGUAUCAAGACUAUCUUGUAUCAAGAUACACUGACACAAAUUCUGACCCCUUACCUUGUUAAUUAUUCUUAGUAAACAAAAACUAAAGUACGAAAAGUUGUUUUGAGAAUAAUGUGAAUGUUUACAGGACAUAUUUCGAGAAUUGAUCGCAAAACUGAAGUAAUUUAUUUAAAGUAAACAAAGAUUUACAACAGUUUUGCAGUCAGCCCUCAAUUUGUUGAAGUUAUCGAGCAUUGUCAGUUUUAAUGUAUCUAUGUUAAAUCCAAAAUAUUCUUUACAUAGCAAACUAUGAAUGUGCUGGUUUUUAAUUAAAUAUUGUUAGAUAUGUUAUUUUAUUAGAUGUCUGAAUUUUACCUCACUUAAAAUUAUUUCUGCACAUUUGGUGGAUGACUUGCUCUGGGUAAUUUAUUUGUUUUUACCAAGACUCUUGUAUUUUUUAAAAAUUAUUAUGGUCAUAUAUUUUGCUUAAACUAUACCCAUGAAUAGAUAUUUCUUUUUUUAGAAACACUUCUCUACACAUUUUUCCUUAUUCAGGAAGAAAGUUUAUUGUGUACAAGUUAAGAUUCUGCUUAAAAAACUGUUUAUUAUACAUGGACAUAUAGGAAUUAUCAGAAAGAAAAUGAGGAUUGCGUAAAUAAACCAAUUACACUGACAUUGAUGCAUUUGAGCGGAGAAAUUGGUUAGAAAGCAAGUUUUACUGUUUUUGAGAUUGAAUAGAAUGUUAAUAAAUUAAAAUUCUAUUUUGAAAAUUAAAAUUUUGAAAAACAAAAGGAACUAAAACAUAUCUUGAAGAGUGUCUUUUUAUGGGUGAUAGUUGAUAUUUUAAAGUUGUGAUAAUAUACUUUAUUUAUAGGCACUAACGUCUGUAUAAACUCAUUGACAUUUUUCAUUUAAUUAUACAUAUGUAUCAUUGUAUAUAUGUUUGCCAUGUUACACCAUCAGGAGCAUAAAGAAAAUUUGGUGCACUCAACUGAAUGUGACAUUGGUUUACACAUCGUCAUUUUAGUGCAGUAACAAGAUAAGACCUUCUAAAUUAUAUAGGAGUUAACCAGUUAUUGCACAAAGCUGAUGACAUGUCUAAAUUUAAGUUGUCUUCUUAAACCCCCUUAUUUCCGGGCUGUUUGUUGAUUAUACAAAUUGUUUUUUUAUAUAGAAAUCUUUUGUCCUAUACUUAUUAAACCUUUGUUUGUAUGGUCAGAAAAAGGUGUUUUUGUUUCACUUUUGGGAUUUUUUUUUUUGUUUUCCUACAUAUUCUUUUGUAUUUUAACCUCAAGUUAAUAAUUUGAUUUAGUUUAAUACAAUACUCUGAUACUAUACAUUUAUAUACAUAUAUGUAUGUAGUUAUGUAUGAUAAAAUUGUAAAAUUAAACUUUCACUGAAUUUAUGAAAUGGACUCUUCCAACCUAUGAUAUGGAACAGUCUAUUAAUUCUAACAGUUGGUGUAAGAUUUGUAUGUUGACAACAAAUUUAGCAGCAAACAGAGCUUGGUCAAACUUCUUUAAUGUGCAAACUGUUAUAACUACUAAAGCAUCAGUCAGAUUUUAUAUAAAGGAUUACCUCUCAAAUUCAUUUUUGAAAAAAUACUACUAUACCAUCUUAUUUUGAACAUGUUGUUAUCUAUUCUUUUAUAGUUCAUGUAUAACAUAAUGUCUAUGUUUUUAUCAUGUUUUUAUUCUGCAUAACAUAUUCAUUGAUACACUGUUUUUAUUUUUUUUCAUCAUCAGACAUUCGUGAAAUUUUAUAUGAAUAAAUGAGUAUUUUAGAAGUC
Ruditapes philippinarum (Manila clam) is the source of this 3314-nucleotide long non-coding RNA. RefSeq lists it as uncharacterized. The transcript is spliced from 2 exons. NCBI's taxonomy places the organism in Eukaryota, Metazoa, Mollusca, Bivalvia, Venerida, Veneridae. The record is from RefSeq and is a predicted model, not a curated record.